AAGUCUCCUGAAGGAACGUUAAAGACGAUGACGUUGAUAGGCCGGGUGUGUAAGCGCAGCGAUGCGUUGAGCUAACCGGUACUAAUGAACCGUGAGGCUUAACCUU
RNAcentral lists this ribosomal RNA (106 nucleotides) under Klebsiella pneumoniae. Its description in RNAcentral is "partial 23S ribosomal RNA". It matches the Rfam family "Bacterial large subunit ribosomal RNA", at positions 2820 to 2925 of the family's 2925-position model. RNAcentral also lists the same sequence under 4 other names. The record is from RNAcentral. Lineage: Bacteria; Pseudomonadati; Pseudomonadota; Gammaproteobacteria; Enterobacterales; Enterobacteriaceae.